AUAUUAUAUCAUAUACGUAGAUAAUUAAGUGAAAUAAGAUGAUAUAAAUAUAUAAUUAAAUUCAUGUUUAUUGUGGGUAUGACUUUUUAUACACAUUUUUCUUGAAUGGAUUGAGACGGACUACUACUAAUAUGAAUUUUUAUUGAUAUAUCAUGAAUAAUUGAUUAAAGAUUGUUUAAGCUCCCACAAUAUUAGAACCACAUACACCAUAACAAAGGCAAAAGGAUUUACCAAGUCAAAAGCAACC
Molecule: long non-coding RNA, 247 nt
Filed under: Carica papaya (papaya)
Lineage: Eukaryota; Viridiplantae; Streptophyta; Magnoliopsida; Brassicales; Caricaceae
Description: long non-coding RNA (CPAP_LNC012537)
Source: RNAcentral